GACGAACGCUGGCGGCGUGCUUAACACAUGCAAGUCGAACGGUGAAGGGACUGGUUUUGCUGGUCCUGGAUGAGUGGCGAACGGGUGAGUAACACGUGAGUAACCUGCCCCCUUCUUCUGGAUAACCGCAUGAAAGUGUGGCUAAUACGGGAUAUUCUGGGUCUGUCGCAUGGUGGGCCUGGGAAAGAUUGCGCCUUUUUUGGUGUUUUUGGUGGGGGAUGGGCUCGCGGCCUAUCAGCUUGUUGGUGGGGUGAUGGCCUACCAAGGCGGUGACGGGUAGCCAGCCUGAGAGGGUGGACGGGCACACUGGGACUGAGACACGGCCCAGACUCCUACGGGAGGCAGCAGUGGGGAAUAUUGCACAAUGGGCGCAAGCCGGAUGCAGCGACGCCGCGUGAGGGAUGGAGGCCUUCGGGUUGUGAACCUCUUUCGCCAGUGAAGCAGGCCUGCCUCUUUUUGUGGGUGGGUUGACGGUAGCUGGAGAAGAAGCGCCGGCUAACUACGUG
RNAcentral lists this ribosomal RNA (506 nucleotides) under uncultured bacterium. RNAcentral describes it as "partial 16S ribosomal RNA". It matches the Rfam family "Bacterial small subunit ribosomal RNA", at positions 28 to 507 of the family's 1533-position model. The record is from RNAcentral.